This 260-nucleotide long non-coding RNA is filed under the name Mytilus galloprovincialis (Mediterranean mussel). Lineage: Eukaryota; Metazoa; Mollusca; Bivalvia; Mytilida; Mytilidae. The record is from RNAcentral.
CAACCCUGUGUCCUGUGGUGAAGAUUGUGUCCGCUCUAUAUCUUGAGAACCGUUAUGAUUUCAAGUUUAUACUUGACAUCCAUUUUAACCAACACCAGAGGGUGUGUCAUGAUGUAUGUACAACUUCCUAGGUCAAAGGUCAAGGUCAAAAACUUUGGUUUCAGUUGACAACCCCGUGUCCUGUGGUGAAGAUCGUGUCUGCUCCAUAUCUAGAUAACUGUUAUGAUUUUAUACUUAAUACUUAACAUGCUUAUUAACCA